AACGAACGCUGGCGGCAGGCCUAACACAUGCAAGUCGAGCGCGCCCUUCGCGGUGGGCUGCGGACGGGUGAGUAACGCGUGGGAACGUUCCCUUUUCCACGGACUAUCCUCGGGUAACUGAGAGUUAUAACGUAUACGCCCCUUCUGGGAAAGAUUACUCGGAAAAGGAUCGGCCCGCGUUGGAUUAGGUAGUUGGUGGGGUAAUGGCCUACCAAGCCGACGAUCAAUAGCUGGUUUGAGAGGAUGAGCAGCCACACUGGGACUGAGACACGGCCCAGACUCCUACGGGAGGCAGCAGUGGGGAAUCUUAGACAAUGGGGGCAACCCUGAUCGAGCCACGCCGCGUGAGUGAUGAAGGCCUUAGGGUUGUAAAGCUCUGUCAGCUGGGAAGAUAAUGACGGUACCAGAAGAAGAAGCCCCGGCUAACUACGUG
Molecule: ribosomal RNA, 433 nt
Filed under: uncultured bacterium
Lineage: Bacteria
Description: partial 16S ribosomal RNA
Rfam family: Bacterial small subunit ribosomal RNA
Source: RNAcentral